CCCCUAGUAACUGCGAGUGAAGCGGGAAAAGCUCAAAUUUAAAAUCUGGCAGUCUUUGGCUGUCCGAGUUGUAAUCUAGAGAAGUGUUAUCCGCGCUGGACCGUGUACAAGUCUCCUGGAAUGGAGCGUCAUAGAGGGUGAGAAUCCCGUCUUUGACACGGACUACCAGGGCUUUGUGAUGCGCUCUCGAAGAGUCGAGUUGUUUGGGAAUGCAGCUCAAAAUGGGUGGUAAAUUCCAUCUAAAGCUAAAUAUUGGCGAGAGACCGAUAGCGAACAAGUACCGUGAGGGAAAGAUGAAAAGAACUUUGGAAAGAGAGUUAAACAGUACGUGAAAUUGCUGAAAGGGAAACGCUUGAAGUCAGUCGCGUUGUUCAGAGAUCAACCUUGCUUUUGCUUGGUGUACUUUCUGGUUGACGGGUCAGCAUCAAUUUUGACUAUUGGAAAAAGAUUAGGGGAAUGUGGCAUCUUUGGAUGUGUUAUAGCCCUUGGUUGYAUACAAUGGUUGGGAUUGAGGAACUCAGCACGCCGAAAGGCCGGGUUUUUAACCACGUACGUGCUUAGGAUGCUGGCAUAAUGGCUUUAAUCGACCCGUCUUGAAACACGGACCAAGGAGUCUAACAUGCCUGCGAGUGUUUGGGUGGAAAACCCGAGCGCGUAAUGAAAGUGAAAGUUGAGAUCCCUGUCGUGGGGAGCAUCAACGCCCGGACCAGACCUUUUGUGACGGUUCCGCGGUAGAGCAUGUAUGUUGGGACCCGAAAGAUGGUGAACUAUGCCUGAAUAGGGUGAAGCCAGAGGAAACUCUGGUGGAGGCUCGUAGCGAUUCUGACGUGCA
This 832-nucleotide ribosomal RNA is filed under the name Cortinarius sp. 'melleipileus 1' FS-2012. RNAcentral describes it as "eukaryotic LSU rRNA". It matches the Rfam family "Eukaryotic large subunit ribosomal RNA", at positions 77 to 895 of the family's 3401-position model. The record is from RNAcentral. Lineage: Eukaryota; Fungi; Basidiomycota; Agaricomycetes; Agaricales; Cortinariaceae.